GACAGAGGUGCCAAGCGUUAGGCGGAAUCACUGGGCUUAAAGCGUGUGUAGGCGGACUUGUAAGUACCUUGUGAAAUCCCACGGCUCAACCGUGGAACUGCUCGGUAUACUGCUUGUCUUGAGCCACUUAGGGGCUGUCGGAACAAACGGUGGAGCGGUGAAAUGCGUAGAUAUCGUUUGGAACGCCAAUGGUGAAAACAGACUGCUGGGGGUGUGCCGACGCUGAGACACGAAAGCCAGGGGAGCAAACGGG
RNAcentral lists this ribosomal RNA (253 nucleotides) under uncultured bacterium. Its description in RNAcentral is "partial 16S ribosomal RNA". It matches the Rfam family "Bacterial small subunit ribosomal RNA", at positions 524 to 776 of the family's 1533-position model. The record is from RNAcentral.